RNAcentral lists this long non-coding RNA (255 nucleotides) under Glycine max (soybean). RNAcentral's name for it is "long non-coding RNA (GMAX_LNC002776)". Lineage: Eukaryota; Viridiplantae; Streptophyta; Magnoliopsida; Fabales; Fabaceae. The record is from RNAcentral.
CAGGUUGCACUCCCUGAAGGAAACAUCAUGGAUGGAGCAGUGUCCUCUGACUGGGGAGGAAGGUGAAUGAGGGUCUCCAACUCUUGCUACAAUGAAAACAACAGUAACUCCUUUUCGAAGCCACCAUUAUCAUCGUGAAACUCGUUGUUCUUGUUACCUCCAAACAUUGUUUGUUGGUCUUUCUUUCGUUUCAACUCAACAAGCGCACAAAACAAAAAAACCCUUUCUCUUCUAAUUUCUUUUAUAGAACUUCUA